UGCAAUGAAGAAUACAUAUCUCGUUAAUCCGAUCACUUAUGAGGAUAAUUUGUAUCCAUUCUUAACAAGAUUCUGAGC
This is a non-coding RNA of Thalictrum thalictroides, 78 nucleotides long. Lineage: Eukaryota; Viridiplantae; Streptophyta; Magnoliopsida; Ranunculales; Ranunculaceae. The record is from the annotation of a GenBank genome assembly.